CUGUGGAGUGUUAUAUAAACGAAAGUAGGAAUAGUCUUAGGCUGACCAAAAUCGGACACGAUGAAACAGUAA
RNAcentral lists this small RNA (72 nucleotides) under bovine gut metagenome. RNAcentral's name for it is "RAGATH-18 RNA". It matches the Rfam family "RAGATH-18 RNA". Rfam says of the family: Actinobacteria, Firmicutes, Fusobacteria, Thermotogae (1 example). The record is from RNAcentral. RNAcentral also lists the same sequence under 1 other name.